GACUGUUCCGGAGGUCUAAUGGUUAGAGCGUCCGCCUCGGAUGCCGGAGGUCGAGGGUUCAAACCCCGGCCGAGUCA
Non-coding RNA from Potamilus streckersoni, 77 nucleotides. Lineage: Eukaryota; Metazoa; Mollusca; Bivalvia; Unionida; Unionidae. The record is from the annotation of a GenBank genome assembly.